Molecule: long non-coding RNA, 210 nt
Filed under: Phaseolus vulgaris (common bean)
Lineage: Eukaryota; Viridiplantae; Streptophyta; Magnoliopsida; Fabales; Fabaceae
Description: long non-coding RNA (PVUL_LNC000210)
Source: RNAcentral
AAAAAGAAGUACAAAAAAAUUCCAAGUACACAAAAAAUGAUAAAUAAAAUACGAAAAGUGUACAUUACUGCCGAAAAAAAGACGGUAAUUGGGCAGCAAUUUUGAAAAAUUUAUUUCUCUCAAUUGGCUUACUGUUUUUAGUUCGUUCCAGUGCCAUUAUUGAGUUGAGACAUUGAAGUUUGUGUGGUUAAUUUUUCACAUUCCAGUUCG